GCCCAGGUGGUGAAAUGGUAGACACGCACGCUUCAGAAGCGUGUUCCGCAAGGCGUGGAGGUUCGAGUCCUCUCCUGGGCACCA
RNAcentral lists this transfer RNA (84 nucleotides) under Candidatus Altimarinota bacterium. RNAcentral's name for it is "tRNA-Leu". It matches the Rfam family "tRNA". Rfam says of the family: Transfer RNA (tRNA) molecules are approximately 80 nucleotides in length. Their secondary structure includes four short double-helical elements and three loops (D, anti-codon, and T loops). Further hydrogen bonds mediate the characteristic L-shaped molecular structure. tRNAs have two regions of fundamental functional importance: the anti-codon, which is responsible for specific mRNA codon recognition, and the 3' end, to which the tRNAs corresponding amino acid is attached (by aminoacyl-tRNA synthetases). tRNAs cope with the degeneracy of the genetic code in two manners: having more than one tRNA (with a specific anti-codon) for a particular amino acid; and 'wobble' base-pairing, i.e. permitting non-standard base-pairing at the 3rd anti-codon position. Lineage: Bacteria; Candidatus Altimarinota. The record is from RNAcentral.